GGAAAUUCUGGAUGGGGCUGGACCAUGGCACCAAGCUGGGGAAUAUUGUCGCCCACCAGAGGAGAUAGAGGCAGCCAAGGCGGAGCGGCGCCGGUAUGAAGCUUUGUACGUGCCGAUGGGGAAGCACGAGAGGCACCCCCAAUAAAAAAAAAUUGGGGGGGGGGGCACACGGGUAGUUUGGCUGGGCCAAGGGUGAGCCCUAAGCCAGCUCCCCGUGCUUAUUAUGGGAAGCAUUUGGAGUGGAGAGCGCCGGAGUAUGUGGUAGUGCGCACGAUCUUGCCCAUGCGCACGCACAGUCCGGUGCGAGCGAUCCCAGCCCCUCGCAAGUGCCAUGCUAGAGUAGGCAUCCAGCCUGGAAGGAGGAUGCCUGCACAGCGCAUCUGGCCACCAGUGCGCUUCCUAGGCCCAGGCUACCCUACGCCUGCUCUACGCACGGCAACCAUCAGGCCUCUGCACAGCCCAGUUCGCCCUGUACCAGCACUCCGCUCGUGCAGGGCUGUUAUUUCCAUCCAGCUAGGACGGGUUGUGCAAGAGGUGCGCUCCAGACCUCCAGUGCUUACCCAUGGCCCGGUAAAUCCAGUUCCUGCUUCUCGUGCUGACCCUGAGGUGCGUAUCCAUAGUCUGGCGUCUCCUAAACCAGCACCACGCACCAGGCUUCCAGUGCGUCAGCCCAGUCCAACUCGUCCUGUACCUGCUCCCCGCACUAGCCCUGAGGUGCGUGUCCCCAGUCUGGUACUUCCAAUACCAGCCCCACGCAUCAGGCUUUCAGUGCGUCAGCCCAUUCCCGAGCUUCCGACGACAGUACCUCAUCCAGAGUGUCCGGCAACAGUGCCUCGUCCAGAACUCCCGGCAACAGUGCCUCGUCCAGAACUCCCGGCAACAGUGCCUCGUCCAGAACUCCCGGCAACAAUACAAUAUCUGUAAGGUCCCUCAGUCGAGCAGUGAAUUUCAACCACAGAUUCAACCACAAAGACCAGGGAGGUUUUCCAAUGCCUCACAAAGAAGGGCACCUAUUGGUAGAUGGGUAAUUAAAAGCAGACAUUGAAUAUCCCUUUGAACAUGUUAAAGUUAUUCAUUACACUUUGGGUGGUGUAUCAAUAUGCCCAGUCACUACAGUUGCUGCACCAGUUGCUGGAGAGGAAGGAAACUGCUCAGGGAUUUCACCAUGAGGCCAGGGGUGACUUUAAAACAAUCCCCUCUUUUAAAAUGCCUGUGGUAGGAGAACUGAGGAUGGAUCAACAACAUUGUAGUUACUCCACAAUACUAACCUAAUUGACAGAGUGAAAAGAAAGAAACCUGUACAAAAUAAACAUAUUUUAAAACAUGCAUCCUCUUUGCAACAAGGCACUAAAGUAAUACUGAAAAACAUUUCACAAAUCAAUACACUUGUUGUCCUGAAUAAAAAGUGUUAUGUUUGGGGCAAAUCCAAUACAACACAUUAAUAAGUAUCACUCUCCAUAUUUUCAAGCAUAGUGGUGGCUGCAUCAUGUUAUGGGUAUGCUUAUAAUCAUUAAGGACUGGGGAGUUUUUCAGGAUAAAAAAAGAAAUGGAAUGGAGCUAAGCACAGGCAAAAUCCUAGACGAAAACCUGCUUCAGUCUGCUUUCCACCAGACACUGUGAGACGAAUUCACCUUUCAGCAGGACAAUAACCUAAAACACAAGGCCAAAUCUACGCUGAAGGUGCUUACCAAGAAGACACUGAAUGUUCCUGAGUGUCUGAGUUACAGUUUUGACUUAAAUCUACUUCAAAAUCUAUGGCAAGACCUGGAAAUGGUUGUCUAGCAAUGAUCAACAACCAAUUUGACAGAGCUUGAAUAAUUUUGAAAAUAAUAAUGAGCAAAUGUUGCACAAUCCAGGUGUGGAGAGCUCUUACAGACUUACCCAGAAAGACCCACAACUGUAAUUGUUGCCAAAGGUGCUUCUACAAAGUAUUGACUCAGGGGUGGGAACACAGUACUUAUGUAAAUGAGAUAUUUCUGGAUGAAAUGUUCUAUACAUUUUCAAUCAUUUCUAAAAACAUGUUUUCAUUUUGACAUUAUUGGGUAUUGUGUGUAGAUGUGUGAGAAAAACAAUAUAUUUAAUCCGGUGACACAACAAAACGUGGAAUAACUCAAGGGGUAUGAAUACUUUCUGAAGGCACUGUAUAUGUACACCUCACCUCAAUCUGCCAGUGAUUUCUGAAAUCAAGUUUGUAUGAAAAAUAAAGUCAGAACACCCCAACUUUACAGUAUAUAAAUUAGAUUGGUAGAGUAAGAAAUAAUAGAGGAUAUAUAUUUUUCUAGAUGUAGUUAUCCUCUCUUUUGUAAAGACAAAGACCACAACCUGUAAGUCAGAGUAUAAGUGUAUAAGUGUAAACAGAUUUAUAGCAUGCCAGUGGCGCAGUGGAUUAAUUCCAGAUAAAACACUGCAAAGCUCCCAGGUUCAAUACCUGCAUGUGAUAUCUACAAAUUACGGUAAAACUAUGUUUACAAUGAAUGUCUAAUAAAAUGCCGUAUGUGUUGUUACAUGGAUUGUCGUUUAACUAACUUCCUCAAUGGUAAGAUAACACAAACACAUGAAAGAAAUCUCCAUGGACUGUUCAAAACAAAAUGGUAUCAUUCUGGGAACAUUGGAAGAACAUUGAGGGAAUGUUUUGUGUAAACAUGUCAUCACAACUGGACAGAUUUUAGGUUCUGGGAACCUUACAAGAACACAGAACAGCUGUUCUGUCUUCAUUCUUGCAACAUCAAAGGAAUGUUUGUGCACCCUGAUACAAACAUUAAAACAUGAUCUGAAUGUCAGCACAACUCGACAGUUUUAGUGUUUUGGGAACUUUUAAAGAACAUUACAAAAUAUUCUGGGAAUGUUCUUACAACAUCAGACAACAGUUUUUUGUGUUUUGGCAACAUAUCUCUUGCCAUGUCCCCACAAUGUUACCACAACCUAAAGAAAUGUGUUAGGAACUAUUAAAGAACAGACUAAAUGUGUUCUGGGAAUGUUCUUGCAACGUCAGGUGAAUGUUUUAUUCAAAUAUAAUCAUAAGCACAACUGGACCGUUUUUCUUUUAUGAGAACAUUUGCCGCAACCUAACAAAUACCAAUUUUGGUAUUCUGGGUAGUCUCCAUAACCCACAGUCACAGAGAACAGGCACAGCAUCUGCCAUAGAGAGUACUGUAUGAGUCAUGUGUUUUUA
This 3172-nucleotide long non-coding RNA is filed under the name Salmo salar (Atlantic salmon). RNAcentral's name for it is "lncRNA (ENSSSAG00000103317.1)". The record is from RNAcentral. Lineage: Eukaryota; Metazoa; Chordata; Actinopteri; Salmoniformes; Salmonidae.